AAUUAUUUCUGGAUUUGACUGAUUGACUGAGAGCUGCUGGACAAUGAACUAUGCAGGAGGACGCUGAAUCUGUUUCAAUAUAUAUUCUUGAAACGGUAAUUUUCAAGAGUUCGCUGACUUCGCUCUCUACUGAUUACUCUCUUCUCGGGCUGUUUUUUUUUUCUUUCUGCAUAUUCAGUAGCUCCUCACCACAUUAAAUUUACUAUGGUUUGAUAUUUUAACUGUUUACAGAAUACGAUUCGACACCCAGCAGGAAACCUCAUCUAAGAAUGGCCACAGGACAAGAGUGAAUCAGAAGUUUAAGAAAUUAAGCACUUGGAGAGUGGCAGCUGAGAGGAGGAGUCGAGAUUUACAACCUGCAAUUCCUAUGUACGCCAGUAGCAGGCUCAGCGAGAACAAAACGUGCUGCGCGUACUUUGUACCCACAGCUGAAGUACUGCAUUUUAAUCAAAACUGCAUUCAGAAAAGGUUUGUACAACAGGUUGCUUAAGUUGUCAGUACGCAGAAUUUCUACGCUAUGCCCCACAAACCAGAAAUGCAAGGUGGGAAGGCUUUUGGUCGUUUGAAGGCUCAGCAGGAGGAGCGUCUGCAAGAAGUUAAUAAGGAAUUCCUCAGUGACCAGAAAUACAGUGAUGAAGAAGACUUGGAAGAAAAGCUGGAAUCUUUUAAAG
This is a long non-coding RNA of Protopterus annectens (West African lungfish), 671 nucleotides long. RefSeq lists it as uncharacterized. NCBI's taxonomy places the organism in Eukaryota, Metazoa, Chordata, Ceratodontiformes, Protopteridae. The record is from RefSeq and is a predicted model, not a curated record. The transcript is spliced from 4 exons.